Molecule: long non-coding RNA, 822 nt
Filed under: Zostera marina
Lineage: Eukaryota; Viridiplantae; Streptophyta; Magnoliopsida; Alismatales; Zosteraceae
Description: long non-coding RNA (ZMAR_LNC003995)
Source: RNAcentral
UAGGGUGCAGACUGCAAUAAUUUCAAUUAAUCUAAUAUUAAAGUUGAUAAAAUUGUUGCAGUUAGCUUUCUAAAAAAAAUGGUGACGAUACAAUCGAUUUUAUCUUAAUACAAUUUACUCUUUCAAAUUAAUACUAGAAAUCCUAGAAUUUGUUUCCGAUUCUUGCAACCGAGCUCCGGUGAGCUCGCCCAACCAUUCCGGUCCAAUACAGGACACUUGAUAUUGCCGGACUCUAAGAUUAACAUGGUAUCAGUCUGAGAAAACGACUAUGUGCUUCUGCAAUGUUCUUUUCCUUGUGUUCUCUACUCUUCUUCUCCCUUGGUCAUAAUUCUCACAGUUUAAAACUGAAAGUAUGGUUAUGGAUUAUGGAAUGUAUUAACUUAGACCCUUUAAUUACUUCCUACCUACCUUUACCUGCAAUCUGUAAUAAAUUCAUCAGAAAGAAUAAAACAAGUGAAGUGAAAGUCAAGAAACGAAGCAAAUCAUUAUAUAUAUAUAUAAUUAGAUAAUACUCUUACUCGAUCAAGGCCACAAUUCAAGGCUGAUCGAGUAAUAUUAAUGGAUUUGGAAGGGAGAUCGGAGAUCGACACGACAACUCCAUUCCGGUCAGUAAAGGAGGCAGUUGCCAUCUUCGGGGAGAGAGUGUUGGUCGGUGAAGUCUAUUCUUCGAAGAACCAACAGGUGAGCAAUUAUAUGCUAGCUGUCAUUAAUUAUUUCUUCGAUUUAUCUGAUUAUCAAUUACCUCCCAAAUUAAUAUCCAAUGUGAAGAAGCAAGGUGCGGUGUUCCGGAAAUCAUCCAUCGUGGUGGAACUUGAAGAGGCC